RNAcentral lists this long non-coding RNA (723 nucleotides) under Ictidomys tridecemlineatus (thirteen-lined ground squirrel). RNAcentral's name for it is "lncRNA (ENSSTOG00000029323.1)". Lineage: Eukaryota; Metazoa; Chordata; Mammalia; Rodentia; Sciuridae. The record is from RNAcentral.
UGAAAAGUCUGAAAAACCCAGAAAGGUAAGACACUAUCUGUAAUCCUGUCAUUUAAAAAAAAUGACACGACAAAAUGAAAAUUCUCCACCCCGUGAGUAAUCACCAUGAACGGUUCAGUUAGCAUCUUCCUGACCUUUUACUGCUCUUCUUACUCCCAAGAAGAUGCUGGCGGUGCAGGUGGUUGGGGGUGCACUUAUGCAAAGCACCUGACAGCUUUUCGGGCAUCAGUAGCAGUAUCAUCUACUGAAAGGCAGUGCAGUUGCGAUGGGGCUGGAGCAGGAGCAUUACAGUCAGAAUGUACUUGAAGCAGUGAUCUAGAAACACAAAACUCUGUGCCCAGCACUAUGUGGGCCCCAAGUCCUUGUGAGAGUGCAGAUCCAGUGAUGGCCACGUCCUCUCAGGAAUUGGUUCACGUUGUAGCACUUUCCCGACAUGUGCACGUGGUGUUUUCCCGUUGGGUUGGGCUUGCUGUGGUGCCGAAGGGACACAGUGGGGAGGUGAGGAACCAUGGAUGGAAGCGAGCAUUCCACUUUUGUUUUUCCUCUCCUCGGCAGAUGAACACCUUGGAUGUGUUAACCAGCAUGGGGGCUAUCCCUGCAGGCUUCAGGCCUUCCACACUCUCCCAGCUGCUGGAGGAAGCCUGCCUGUCCUGCCUUCCCCUGCCACCACUGUGAGCAGCGCACCACAGUGCCACCAGACCAUCCCGUCCCAGCACAGUGCCA